CACGUAUGGGGCAAGCGUUGUUCGGAAUCACUGGGCGUAAAGGGCGUGUAGGCGGUUCGAAAAGCCCGGCGUGAAAGGUAUCGGCUUAACCGAUAGACUGCGCUGGGAACUGCCGGACUGGAGUCAUGGAGGGGGAGCUGGAAUUCCAGGUGUAGGGGUGAAAUCUGUAGAGAUCUGGAAGAACACCGGUGGCGAAGGCGAGUUUCUGGCCAAUGACUGACGCUGAGGCGCGAAAGCGCGGGGAGCAAACAGG
This 253-nucleotide ribosomal RNA is filed under the name uncultured bacterium. RNAcentral describes it as "partial 16S ribosomal RNA". It matches the Rfam family "Bacterial small subunit ribosomal RNA", at positions 524 to 776 of the family's 1533-position model. The record is from RNAcentral.